UGUGGUUGCGGGGCGUCAGCG
RNAcentral lists this unclassified non-coding RNA (21 nucleotides) under Chlamydomonas reinhardtii. RNAcentral describes it as "small RNA Cre_3621". The record is from RNAcentral. Lineage: Eukaryota; Viridiplantae; Chlorophyta; Chlorophyceae; Chlamydomonadales; Chlamydomonadaceae.